This 497-nucleotide ribosomal RNA is filed under the name uncultured bacterium. Its description in RNAcentral is "partial 16S ribosomal RNA". It matches the Rfam family "Bacterial small subunit ribosomal RNA", at positions 28 to 507 of the family's 1533-position model. The record is from RNAcentral.
GAUGAACGCUGGCGGCGUGCCUAAUACAUGCAAGUCGAGCGAACGGACGAGGAGCUUGCUUCUCUGAUGUUAGCGGCGGACGGGUGAGUAACACGUGGAUAACCUACCUAUAAGACUGGGAUAACUUCGGGAAACCGGAGCUAAUACCGGAUAAUAUUUUGAACCGCAUGGUUCAAUAGUGAAAGACGGUCUUGCUGUCACUUAUAGAUGGAUCCGCGCCGCAUUAGCUAGUUGGUAAGGUAACGGCUUACCAAGGCAACGAUGCAUAGCCGACCUGAGAGGGUGAUCGGCCACACUGGAACUGAGACACGGUCCAGACUCCUACGGGAGGCAGCAGUAGGGAAUCUUCCGCAAUGGGCGAAAGCCUGACGGAGCAACGCCGCGUGAGUGAUGAAGGUCUUCGGAUCGUAAAACUCUGUUAUUAGGGAAGAACAUAUGUGUAAGUAACUGUGCACAUCUUGACGGUACCUAAUCAGAAAGCCACGGCUAACUACGUG